AAAAAGAGGAAAGUGGGAGCUGUGAGGGACAGAGACAAGGAAAUAUCUUUUUUUGUAAUUUUUAUUUUCCUUUUUCUCUUCUCUUCUAUCGCAAGAAGAAGCAGAGAGAUAGUCUAUAGGCAGAGAAGAGAUCGUUGUAGUUCAUAGCUAAAGAAGCAUCUGAGAGAUAGAGAUGAGAGAAAUAAUAAGCAUACACAUUGGACAAGCGGGAAUUCAGGUGGGAAACUCAUGCUGGGAGCUUUACUGCCUGGAGCAUGGCAUCCAUCCAGAUGGCAUGAUGCCCAGUGACACUUCAGUGGGUGUUGCAAAUGAUGCUUUCAAUACCUUCUUCAGUGAGACU
RNAcentral lists this unclassified non-coding RNA (340 nucleotides) under Hevea brasiliensis (rubber tree). The record is from RNAcentral. Lineage: Eukaryota; Viridiplantae; Streptophyta; Magnoliopsida; Malpighiales; Euphorbiaceae.